This 372-nucleotide ribosomal RNA is filed under the name uncultured organism. Its description in RNAcentral is "partial 16S ribosomal RNA". It matches the Rfam family "Bacterial small subunit ribosomal RNA", at positions 527 to 896 of the family's 1533-position model. The record is from RNAcentral.
GUAGGUGGCAAGCGUUGUCCGGAAUUAUUGGGCGUAAAGCGCGCGCAGGCGGUUCCUUAAGUCUGAUGUGAAAGCCCCCGGGCUCAACCGGGGAGGGUCAUUGGAAACUGGGGAACUUGAGUGCAGAAGAGGAGAGCGGAAUUCCACGUGUAGCGGUGAAAUGCGUAGAGAUGUGGAGGAACACCAGUGGCGAAGGCGGCUCUCUGGUCUGUAACUGACGCUGAGGCGCGAAAGCGUGGGGAGCGAACAGGAUUAGAUACCCUGGUAGUCCACGCCGUAAACGAUGAGUGCUAAGUGUUAGAGGGUUUCCGCCCUUUAGUGCUGCAGCAAACGCAUUAAGCACUCCGCCUGGGGAGUACGGCCGCAAGGCUG